CCCAUGGAAUAUAUUGUCACACAAAAAAUAAAAACGAGCAUCCUUUAUCUCGUCAAAUCUAUGUUACCAUACCACAUCUAGCGUUUACAUUUUGGAUAUUGCUAUAAGGAACACUUUUUAAUGGUUAAAGCAUGGUGUGUGUUCGAUUCCUGGUUCAACCGCAACGCAGGGACAGUCACGAUGAGUGUUUAAAUGAAUUUGCAACAUAUGGGCACAUGGAUACACAAAUGUGGACUAAAACAUCGGAGACAUCAAACAUGUUCGUCGGACAGGACGAGAGUAUAUUAAACAUUUUAUAAAGCAACCAUCAUGUCCAUCUGACAGCUUUAUGAACCUUGCUACAUCGAGAAUCAACAUUGUCUAGGACGAGAAUUUAAACAAUGCGAUUAUGUAUCUUUGCUCAAAAGGUUUUUUGUUUGUAUUGACUCGUUACAAAGUGAUGAGUGAAAGUUAUAAGAUGCUUUUAGAUUUAUUCUGACUCGUAAGACGUUUGAUUUACGUUAAAAGGGCGACAAGAGCCCUUAAAUGAGCCCAAAGAUGUUAUUUUGAUCCGCAAGCGACCUUUAUUUGCCCAGCCAUCGAUUCGCCCCUUGUUUACACGUACCCUUUACCCGUGUUGGUAAUAUUCACGUUGCUCGUUAUUAUGAAGUUAAUAGAGUGGCGAUGCGCCGACCUGGCUAAUGAUAGCAAGGGUCUUGCAAUACUAAGGGAACGCCUAAGGUCUUUACAAAAUGUUAUUUACGUGGGCGCGGCGAUUUGUUUCAUUAGAGAAAGAAAACAAUUAAAUGAACGCCUGAUUGAAAAAAAAUGCGCUUCAAAAACCACUCAAUGAAUACGUUUUCUUUUUUAUUUCGACGACUUUUUAUUCUGCAACGCAUUACAUAUUUUUGUCGAUAAUAACAGUUAUGAUAAUAAGCAUCAGGAUAAGCUUCAUAAACUAUCAUAAUCAUCAUCUGCUUCUUCCUAUUCUUUUUCUUCUUUUUCCGCGUCUUUGAGGGUGUUUUCAAACAUGAGUAUUGAUAUGAUAUUGUCGGAAAUAUUAAAUGCUUUUUAAAGAUGAUACUACCAUAUCCCAUUACAUGUAAAUGUAAAUACACUCACUUGUUUUUCAGGCCUUACCAGACUAUGUGGGCGUACGUACAUGCAAAUAUUACGCAACCCCGUAACAUCUUGGGUUUUCUUUUCAAAUCUGUAAUGUAAACACUCAAAAACAAUACUGGCUCGAACUAUUUAUGUCACCGUGUCAUUUCACGUGAAUGGAUUCAAAUGGCAUGCAUGUUUUGAGAAAACUUUGAAAGUCAACAAUUCCUCUCAUCCACAAAUAACACCUUUUCUUAAGAAUGACAUUUAUCCCUUGUUACACAUAACGGCCUUUGAACAGGGGCCAUUAGGCGUGUAUUUUAGAGCAUUUAAGGGGUCACAUUUCAAGGGGAACCGUUUAAAUUGCUCUUAGGCCUCCGUUAAGGGUAUUUACCGUUUGAAUAAUUCUACUUUUCUGGUCAACUGAACUUUUUCAAACUAUUUGCGAGUUUCUAAAGACGCGACAAUUGACCAUUUGACCUUAGCUGUCAUUUUCCGACAGUUUUGCCAGCUUUAUGACGUGUGAAUUAAAUGACCACCAGGUGUUGUGACUGACAUUAUUUCCAUUAUAUUCUUGUUAAAAAAUCGGAAAAAAAUUAUACACGAAUUACAAGUGUUAGAA
Dreissena polymorpha is the source of this 1702-nucleotide long non-coding RNA. RefSeq lists it as uncharacterized. The record is from RefSeq and is a predicted model, not a curated record. NCBI's taxonomy places the organism in Eukaryota, Metazoa, Mollusca, Bivalvia, Myida, Dreissenidae. The transcript is spliced from 2 exons.